RNAcentral lists this ribosomal RNA (466 nucleotides) under uncultured bacterium. RNAcentral's name for it is "partial 16S ribosomal RNA". The stretch from base 20 to 327 matches the Rfam family "Bacterial small subunit ribosomal RNA", at positions 47 to 358 of the family's 1533-position model. The record is from RNAcentral.
GAUGAACGCUGGCGGCGUGCUUAACACAUGCAAGUCGAACGGAAAGGCUCCUGCUUGCAGGGGUACUCGAGUGGCGAACGGGUGAGUAACACGUGGGUGAUCUGCCCAGCACUUCGGGAUAAGCCUGGGAAACUGGGUCUAAUACCGGAUAGGACGAUGGUUUGGAUGCCAUUGUGGAAAGUUUUUUCGGUGUGGGAUGAGCUCGCGGCCUAUCAGCUUGUUGGUGGGGUAAUGGCCUACCAAGGCGUCGACGGGUAGCCGGCCUGAGAGGGUGUACGGCCAGAGGGGGACAGAAAUACGGACAGGAAUCAUGGGGGAGGCAGAGGGGGGGAGUGGGGAAAAAGGGGCGGAGGCUGGAGGCAGCGAGGCGGGGGGGGGGAGGAGGAAGUUAGGGUUGAAAACGAAUUACGCAAGGAAGGAAGCGAAAGUGAGGGUACGGGAAAAGGAAGAACGGGCAAAAUACGUG